AACGCACCUUGCGCUCCUUGGUAUUCCGAGGAGCAUGCCUGUUUGAGUGUCAUUAAUAUAUAUAUCAAACCCUCUUUGUUGAGUGGCUUGGAUGUGGAGGUUUUUUGCUGGCCUCUUAAAAGGUCCAGCUCCUCUGAAAUGCAUUAGCAGAACAGCCUGUUCAUUCAUUGGUGUGAUAACUAUCUGCGCUAUUGAAUGUGGGGCAGUUCAGCUUCCUAACAGUCCUUUGGACAAUUCAUCAUUUUAUGUGACCUCAAAUCAGGUAGGACUACCCGCUGAACUUAA
This 285-nucleotide unclassified non-coding RNA is filed under the name uncultured fungus. RNAcentral's name for it is "partial contains 5.8S ribosomal RNA, internal transcribed spacer 2, and large subunit ribosomal RNA". The stretch from base 1 to 52 matches the Rfam family "5.8S ribosomal RNA", at positions 103 to 154 of the family's 154-position model. The record is from RNAcentral. RNAcentral also lists the same sequence under 1 other name. Lineage: Eukaryota; Fungi.